Ictalurus punctatus (channel catfish) is the source of this 299-nucleotide long non-coding RNA. The record is from Ensembl. Lineage: Eukaryota; Metazoa; Chordata; Actinopteri; Siluriformes; Ictaluridae.
AGGAAGUUGGCUCGAGGCUUCGUGGCUUCACUCUUCGCAGCGCCACUUGCACUCCGGCAUUAUGAGCAGAGCUGGCCAGAGCUGCGCGCCUUUCUGAAUUUACGUGUCGAGUGAUUAGAGAUCAUGGAGUUGGGAGCCCGCGUCCUCGUCGCCUUCCUCGCCUCCCAGUGUUUAUUUAUUUAACUUUCCUAGGAAAUCACUGGCUGACAGGAACUUUCAGAAGAGGGGUCACACGACCAUGCCCUUUAUUUAACAGUCAGCACAUGCAAAACCUAAUGUCUGGUGCAUUCGUGUAUACG